GAUGAACGCUGGCGGCGUGCCUAAUACAUGCAAGUCGAGCGAACGGACGAGAAGCUUGCUUCUCUGAUGUUAGCGGCGGACGGGUGAGUAACACGUGGAUAACCUACCUAUAAGACUGGGAUAACUUCGGGAAACCGGAGCUAAUACCGGAUAAUAUUUUGAACCGCAUGGUUCAAAAGUGAAAGACGGUCUUGCUGCCACUUAUAGAUGGAUCCGCGCUGCAUUAGCUAGUUGGUAAGGUAACGGCUUACCAAGGCAACGAUGCAUAGCCGACCUGAGAGGGUGAUCGGCCACACUGGAACUGAGACACGGUCCAGACUCCUACGGGAGGCAGCAGUAGGGAAUCUUCCGCAAUGGGCGAAAGCCUGACGGAGCAACGCCGCGUGAGUGAUGAAGGUCUUCGGAUCGUAAAACUCUGUUAUUAGGGAAGAACAUAUGUGUAAGUAACUGUACACAUCUUGACGGUACCUAAUCAGAAAGCCACGGCUAACUACGUG
This 497-nucleotide ribosomal RNA is filed under the name uncultured bacterium. RNAcentral's name for it is "partial 16S ribosomal RNA". It matches the Rfam family "Bacterial small subunit ribosomal RNA", at positions 28 to 507 of the family's 1533-position model. The record is from RNAcentral.